ACGAACGCUGGCGGCGUGCUUAACACAUGCACGUCGAACGCUGAAGCUCAGCUUUUGUUGGGUGGAUGAGUGGCGAACGGGUGAGUAACACGUGAGUAACCUGCCUCCUUCUUUGGGAUAACGCCCGGAAACGGGUGCUAAUACUGGAUAUUCACUGGUCUUCGCAUGGGGGUUGGUGGAAAGGGUUUUUCUGGUGGGGGAUGGGCUCGCGGCCUAUCAGCUUGUUGGUGGGGUGAUGGCCUACCAAGGCUUUGACGGGUAGCCGGCCUGAGAGGGUGACCGGUCACAUUGGGACUGAGAUACGGCCCAGACUCCUACGGGAGGGAGCAGUGGGGAAUAUUGCACAAUGGGCGCAAGCCUGAUGCAGCGACGCCGCGUGAGGGAUGGAGGCCUUCGGGUUGUGAACCUCUUUCGCUCAUGGUCAAGCCGCAACAAUGGUUGUGGUGAGGGUAGUGGGUAAAGAAGCGCCGGCUAACUACGUG
RNAcentral lists this ribosomal RNA (482 nucleotides) under uncultured bacterium. RNAcentral's name for it is "partial 16S ribosomal RNA". It matches the Rfam family "Bacterial small subunit ribosomal RNA", at positions 29 to 507 of the family's 1533-position model. The record is from RNAcentral.